GACCCACGGCUUGGUUAUAAAGUUUCCACGAGUGGCUAGCCACGACACUUGCUGGAACACACUAACUAAUCUGGGAGCUGCAAAAUCGCCUGAUUACACAGCAAACGGUUAACAACUGUUGGGACACUUGCGCAUAUAGGAACGGCGUGGACUAAACCAAGGCAUUUCUAAAUAUAGCAUCCAACUCAAAGUGCAGGUGUUAAGGAGUUGACGAUGGCAUCCCAUACAUUCCUGUUGACGCUCUCCGUAGCUACGCUACUGGUAGCCGUCCUCGGGGCUGGCUAUGAAGAAGACACAGAUGCGCUGUACCAGAUGUUCAACGACGCUAUGCAGAAGAGAGAAGACGGAGGGUUGAUGCAGUAUCUUGUAGAGAAACGAGGAAGAGGUGGAUCUUCAAGAAGGUGUCAGUAUAAGGGUUCGAUGUGUACCUGUGACUACAGAUUCGGCCCACUGAAUGCAAGACGGUACGCUAACUGCAUGAAGGUUACGUCAUGAGAGAACAAUUGGAGUAUAAAGAAUGACAGCGUCGACAACACCUUGCAGCAACACAUCGGAUUAUUCAUAAUUCUGGGAGUACCUGAGAACACAAAUUAAGGCUGACAUGUUAAUUCAAUGUAAUCUUAAAUUAGAAACUUUACUUUUCAAUGAAAUAUUUGAUUGCAAAUUCAUCCUUCUUUAGUAUUUUGUUGGUUUCGAUUCUAGGUAUUUUUGCCUUCACGUCGGCCUACGCUUAGGCAAUUAUUUGUUAUUUCUUAAAGAACUAUUUUUCAACCUGAACAACAGUGUGAAAUUGUACUUUGAUUGAUUUUUAUUUUUAUUGGAAUGUUUUCAGAAAGUAGACCAAGAGAAGAUGAAAAUCAGACAACAUUAAAUCAUAAAUACAAAAACUGCACUGUCCGCUAUUGAAACGAGAAAAAUGACGGAAUACAAAACUUUAGGUGUGGUUAUGUUUGUUUAGAUUUGUGAUCUUUAUGGGAAUUAAUAUGUAUUAAGCUUCUAAGGAGUUAGUUAAAGUGCAACUAUCCAACGAUAAAGGAUCAGCAUUAUGACAGAGCUUAUCAUGUUUAUGACAACAUAUUUUGGAUAAAGUCAAAUUAUUUUCUUUAAUAUGACUUAAAUAUUUUUGGCAUUUCUUUCAUAUUACCUAAAAGUUUUUGCCAUUUGCUAUUAUGAGGAAUAUCCCUUUGUAAAAUUCGCUUCUUACCCAAGUUUUCAAAUUUGUCUGCCAAAUUUCUGUUUCUAAUUUUAUCACGUUUAUUUGUUCAUUUCUGAAUGACUUUUUUUUUAAAUUCGCAUUCUUUUUUAACUUAAGUCAAGUUUCUUUGUUCAAACGGUGGUCAGUGUGGACCUUUUGAGUUGCAGGAUAUCACCAAAAAAAUCCAGAAAAUGUGAAAUGCAAGAAUUGGAUCAGGAGACGUAGGCCUAUUAUUCGAAUUGGUGAAAAAGUUUUCAAUUUGUUGCAAGUGGCACACUUUUGGGAAAUGUGAAGAAGCAACGCAACAGCACUGUAAAUAAUUGUAGUACAUAGCUCGCUGAAGCACGUAAAGGCCUGGGCUAUAUGCUGUGCGACUGCCGUGCCAAACUUCAUCAAAAUGAGCGUGGCAAAACAGCCCGGCAGUUGCGCUGAGGAACUUAGAGCAUUGUCUUGAUGCUGUUCUGAGCGCUCAUAGCGCGGCUUACCGCGCCGAGCUAAAGGACUUGACACUAAACGCUGUGCUAUUAAAAUGUUUCACGUUUGGCGCUGCAAUAGCAUGGUGUACAGCCUAGGCCUAACUUGCAUUAAUGUUUAAAAAUUAACAAAUGAAACUGUGUUAAAUCAAAAGAUAAAUUCCGAUCAGAUAUUAAAUUGGGUGGUCAGAGCACAUUGUUGAUGUUCGAAAGAUGUCCUUUUCCGUCGUAUUUUAUAAAAGAUUUGUUAAGUAGACGUGAAAUUCGGUAAAAGAAAGUGAGCUACUUUUAUACUUUAAGUUUGACCGAAUACUUGAUAUUACAGACAAUGAGACGGAUAUGUGUAUACGUCACCAAAUAUUUCUAAACGUCAGUGGCGUAACCAUGUUGCUAUUUCUUUUCAUUUUUUAUGAAUUGAAAGCGUCAACCAUUUAAAGUGCUUUUUCACUUCCUUCUUGCGGAGAAGGUUGAGUGAAUUCUCUUACGGAUGAAAAAACAAUUAGAGAGUCAUUAAAACAAUCCCAAUAACCCCAACCCCAAUUCUUAAGUGAACGCGUCACUGAUCGUACUCGUGUAUUACACUCAAAGGACACACCCCCAGAUCUGCACACAGUAAUGACCAUAGGCUGAGAGUGUUGUGGCUUGGGCUGGAAUGGAUCGGCUCGAAGCUGAAGCUUCUUGCCGUAGACACGCUCGUUAUCGCCUAGCCGCAGACAGUUCAGUCGGGCACGGUCUUACUACUUUCCAACAUCAUACAAUAAUGAGAGCAGAACAUGGCUCCGCUUUUUCCCCCAAAAUAAAAUGGCUAGAGUUAAGUUUAACGCAUGUUACCUUGCCCAUUUGACGCCUUUAGGUUAUGCGUACACGCCUACUUUCUGCCUAAAACACCACACACUUCAGCAAGUAGGAUUUUUUUAACAAAGAAUACUUCAUAGGUAAGAAAGUAAUUGGUAUAUUCAUUGAUCUAAUAUCAGCACCAACACCCUAAGAAAACAACACCAUGAAAUAAAAGCAAGGAUGUCAGGACAGCGAG
This 2701-nucleotide long non-coding RNA is filed under the name Acanthaster planci (crown-of-thorns starfish). RNAcentral's name for it is "uncharacterized LOC110983531, transcript variant X2". The record is from RNAcentral. Lineage: Eukaryota; Metazoa; Echinodermata; Asteroidea; Valvatida; Acanthasteridae.